Molecule: ribosomal RNA, 361 nt
Filed under: uncultured bacterium
Lineage: Bacteria
Description: partial 16S ribosomal RNA
Rfam family: Bacterial small subunit ribosomal RNA
Source: RNAcentral
CCUACGGGCGGCAGCAGUGAGGAAUAUUGCACAAUGGACGAGAGCCUGAUCCAGCCAAGUCGCGUGAAUGAUGACUGCCCUCUGGGUUGUAAACUUCUUUUAUAUGGGAAUAAAAUGUUACACGUGUGGGAUUUUGUAUGUACCAUAUGAAUAAGGAUCGGCUAAGUCCGCGCCAGCAGCCGCGGGAAGACGGGGGGUCCGAUCGUUAUCCGGAUUUAUUGGGUUUAAAGGGAACGUAGGUGGUUGGUUAAGUCAGGUGUGAAAGUUUAGGGCUUAACCGUAGAAUUGCAGUUGAUACUGGGAGGCUUGAGUACAGUAGGGGUGGGCGGAAUUCGAGGUGUAGCGGUGAAAUGCGUAGAGA